Molecule: ribosomal RNA, 339 nt
Filed under: uncultured soil bacterium
Lineage: Bacteria
Description: bacterial SSU rRNA
Rfam family: Bacterial small subunit ribosomal RNA
Source: RNAcentral
AGGACGAACGCUGGCGGCGUGCUUAACACAUGCAAGUCGAGCGGUAAGGCCUUUCGGGGUACACGAGCGGCGAACGGGUGAGUAACACGUGGGUGAUCUGCCCUGCACUUCGGGAUAAGCCUGGGAAACUGGGUCUAAUACCGGAUAUGACCUCAGGUUGCAUGACUUGGGGUGGAAAGAUUUAUCGGUGCAGGAUGGGCCCGCGGCCUAUCAGCUUGUUGGUGGGGUAAUGGCCUACCAAGGCGACGACGGGUAGCCGACCUGAGAGGGUGACCGGGCCACACUGGGACUGAGACACGGCCCAGACUCCUACGGGAGGCAGCAGUGGGGAAUAUUGCA